This is a long non-coding RNA of Elaeis guineensis (African oil palm), 654 nucleotides long. RefSeq lists it as uncharacterized. The record is from RefSeq and is a predicted model, not a curated record. NCBI's taxonomy places the organism in Eukaryota, Viridiplantae, Streptophyta, Magnoliopsida, Arecales, Arecaceae.
GCUAAGGGAUAGGUGGAAUGAGUUGGCGUGCACAUAAUCGGCUCCGUUAGAUUUGCGGUCUCUCGGCGGCGGAGGGACUCCAGCCGAGCUCGUUACUAGGCGUUCUCCUCCUUUCUUUUCUCCGCCGCCGCUCAGAUCUCCCGCAGUUUAUUUUCCACUUGCCUUUGCCGGAGGCGUUCCAAUCGCCAUCGAUGGAGGGGAACCACUGGAGGCCCGCCCAGGCAGAGCCCUCCGCCACCGACGGCGCCGAGGCCGGGGACUGGCGGAGCCAGCUGAACCGCCGCAUGCGGCAGCAUGUCGUCGACAAGAUAAUGAUUAUCUGAGGAAACCUUCUGAGAGAAUGUUGUAUAUGGUGACAGACUCAGCAUACUCCUCCAAACCAAAAUCCCACAGACCCAGGUAUUGAUAUGAUAGAACAUAGUGCUUCUUAUCAAUGCAAUGUCGCAAAAGAUUUAAAUUAUACAUUUUUGGACAUUGGAGAACCGUUGUAUGCUUGGCAUCUAGAAGAAACUCACAAAUACUGCUCCAUUUGUUUUAGCAUAUUGUUGUUUAUUUUGACUUUUUAUUUUGAUUUAUAGUCGACGUGAGGCAGAUAAAUGCUCUUAUCUUUUCUCUACAAGUGAAAUAUCAUUUGAUGUUGCACCACUUAUAUUC